This 468-nucleotide ribosomal RNA is filed under the name uncultured bacterium. RNAcentral's name for it is "partial 16S ribosomal RNA". It matches the Rfam family "Bacterial small subunit ribosomal RNA", at positions 28 to 507 of the family's 1533-position model. The record is from RNAcentral.
GACGAACGCUGGCGGCGUGCUUAACACAUGCAAGUCGAACGGAAAGGCCCUGCUUUUGUGGGGUGCUCGAGUGGCGAACGGGUGAGUAACACGUGAGUAACCUGCCCUUGACUUUGGGAUAACUUCAGGAAACUGGGGCUAAUACCGGAUAGGAGCUCCUGCUGCAUGGUGGGGGUUGGAAAGUUUCGGCGGUUGGGGAUGGACUCGCGGCUUAUCAGCUUGUUGGUGGGGUAGUGGCUUACCAAGGCUUUGACGGGUAGCCGGCCUGAGAGGGUGACCGGCCACAUUGGGACUGAGAUACGGCCCAGACUCCUACGGGAGGCAGCAGUGGGGAAUAUUGCACAAUGGGCGGAAGCCUGAUGCAGCAACGCCGCGUGCGGGAUGACGGCCUUCGGGUUGUAAACCGCUUUCGCCUGUAACGAAGAGUGAGUGACGGUAAUGGGUAAAGAAGCACCGGCUAACUACGUG